This is a ribosomal RNA of Callithrix jacchus (white-tufted-ear marmoset), 119 nucleotides long. The record is from Ensembl. Lineage: Eukaryota; Metazoa; Chordata; Mammalia; Primates; Cebidae.
GUCUAUGGCCAUACCACCCUGAGUACGCCAGAUCUCAUUUGAUCGCGGAAGCUAAGCAGGGUCAUUCCUGGUUAGUACUUGGAUGGGAGACCGCCUGUGAAUCCCAGGAGCUGUAGACU